UUGGAACACGAAUGUAAACAAACACUCAAACCUCGUGUAAUCGAUGUACACCGUGAUGCUUGAUUGCGAUAUGCCUACCUCGUGUAUCGAUACAUUGUUCUCAAUCACCUCUAACGGAAAUCCCGGUCUAAAUCCAUCCGAGCCAUUCACAACGAGGACGUCAAGUAUUUCGAAAACUCGAUUGACAGCCGAAGGAAGAGCAGCUUGCGGAUGCCAGCAUGUUCAGGGUUUGUGGGGAGGUUCACAGACAUCCUCAGGGGGGAUACAAAGUAUUGAAAUGUCCGGAUGAAUAAAAGAGACAGUCAUCUGUGCAGCAUCAAUGCAAUGAAAGACCAUAGAAGAGCAACAGUGAAACUGAAGUCCUGCUUGAGAUCCCUGGAUGAGUACUCCAGGUUGACAGUCUGGAAGGACCAGACAAGGGAGUCCUAAACAGAGGGUGCACCCCUUCAGAUAUCAGAGGUGAUUUGCAGACAGCGAUGACGAGGGUCCUGUUAUUUCAAUGGAGGCCGACCGAGAAGUUGUAUGCCAAAUGGUACUGGGACACACAAAGGCUGGUCUGCCUAAUGUGAGAAGACCAACCAAUGCCAAGCUGGAGUGGAAUUCUUCCAGGACAUUCAGGAAAUUCUUGUCUUGAGCCAUGUGGUAAACACUUAAAAGGAAUGAUAAAUGGGACUUAUUGUCUUUAAAUGUGGACCCAAACACCAAAUGGAAAGUUCACAAUUCUACUAACACAAUGCUGCAGAGAUAGAGUCCAACUGGUAUCCCCUCAUCCUGGUUCCUGUUCAUCCAUGACAAUAUAGAAAGAAAAGGAGUAUUGAGGGAAAGU
RNAcentral lists this unclassified non-coding RNA (826 nucleotides) under Haliotis rufescens (red abalone). Its description in RNAcentral is "uncharacterized LOC125379151, transcript variant X2". The record is from RNAcentral. Lineage: Eukaryota; Metazoa; Mollusca; Gastropoda; Lepetellida; Haliotidae.